This 710-nucleotide small RNA is filed under the name Apiospora sacchari. Its description in RNAcentral is "eukaryotic LSU rRNA". The stretch from base 131 to 710 matches the Rfam family "Eukaryotic large subunit ribosomal RNA", at positions 1 to 591 of the family's 3401-position model. Lineage: Eukaryota; Fungi; Ascomycota; Sordariomycetes; Amphisphaeriales; Apiosporaceae. The record is from RNAcentral.
GGGAAUCUGCUGUACUGCAGUUCCUUAAAGACAGUGGCGGAGCGGCGGUAGUCCUCUGAGCGUAGUAAUUUAUUUCUCGCUUUUGUCAGGCUCUGUCCUCCCGCCAUAAAACCCCCAAUUUUUUAGUGGUUGACCUCGGAUCAGGUAGGAAUACCCGCUGAACUUAAGCAUAUCAAUAAGCGGAGGAAAAGAAACCAACAGGGAUUCCCCUAGUAACGGCGAGUGAAGCGGGAACAGCUCAAAUUUGAAAUCUGGCCCUUGGGUCCGAGUUGUAAUUUGCAGAGGAUGCUUUUGGUGCGGUGCCUUCCGAGUUCCCUGGAACGGGACGCCUUAGAGGGUGAGAGCCCCGUACGGUUGGCCACCAAGCCUGUGUAAAGCUCCUUCGACGAGUCGAGUAGUUUGGGAAUGCUGCUCAAAAUGGGAGGUAUAUUUCUUCUAAAGCUAAAUACUGGCCAGAGACCGAUAGCGCACAAGUAGAGUGAUCGAAAGAUGAAAAGCACUUUGAAAAGAGGGUUAAAUAGCACGUGAAAUUGUUGAAAGGGAAGGAUUUAUGACCAGACUUUUUCUGGGGGGAUCAUCCGGUGUUCUCACCGGUGCACUUCCCCCAGUUGAGGCCAGCAUCGGUUUCUGCCGGGGGAUAAAAGCUUUGGGAAUGUGGCUCCUUCGGGAGUGUUAUAGCCCGUUGCAUAAUACCCUGGCGGGGACCGAGG